UUGUGCAAAUGUGUAUAAAAAAAAAAACAAUUGACAACAUUUAUCUAGCAUGAAAUGAAUUUUCUAAAAAAAGACUUUAAGUAGAGAUCAAUUUUUCUAUUGAUAUGAUUUCCUUUAGAUAUGUUAUAUGUGACCUUUGACCUUAAAUCAAUAUACAUAAGUAGUGUUUUUGCCAUUUGAGCAAUACCUAUAAAACCAGAAAACAAAGUGUCUUAUAACAAUUUGAUAAUAAAAAGCUCACAAUGAUAUGAAACAUCACAAACAGAUACCUUUGAAUAAACUGAAUUAACACUUAACUUAUUAACAGAAAAUAAAAUACCUUUAAAGAAUUUUUUACAAACAAAACCAGAAUUCUUCUAUACGGUAAUGAAUAGCUUGAAAAAAACCUUGAUCAUCAAAAAAGGUUUUCAUUUAACCAACUAAAUAUAGAUUUUUAGUUCCUCUUUUUCACUCAUAAAUGCCAGCAGUACAAUGAACCUUUUUCACAUUUAGGCAAAAUUUUAGGCAGUAAAUUUAAACAUUAAUAAUUGAAUAGCGAACCUUUGUAGAUAGAUGCUAUGUUGAAAAAAAACUAGACAAGUUACAUUUAAUAAACAUAUGUUACACUAAAUAAACAUAUGUUACACUAAAUAAACAUGUGUUACACUGAAUAGUCAUAUGUUACACUGAAUAAACAUGUAAUACACUGAAUAAACAUGUUUUACACUGAAUAAACAUGUGUUACAUUUACACUGAAUGAUACACUAACUAAACAUGAUACUCUGAAUAAACAUAUGUUAUACUGAAUAAACAUGUGUUACACUGAAUAAACAUGUGUUACACUGAAUAAACAUGUGUUACACUUACACUGAAUGAUACACUAACUAGACAUGAUACUCUGAAUAAACAUAUUUAUCAUAUACAUAGCAUUGAUAUGAUAGCUUUUGCAUAUGUGUAAUGAGCGGAAGUACACAAGCCAUAAUUUUCCACCCAGGCUGAUAACCCAUAUCAGCCCGGGCUGAUAACCCAUAUCAGGGGCGUCUCGUGCAAAAACCCAUAACAGUGCUUCUCGUGCAAGUUAUUUCCGGUGUUUCUGGUAUUGAUUGUUUACUUUUUCAUUGUGACGUCAGAUAUUUUUUAUGACAUCAAAAUUUACGGGAACUUUUGUGGGGAUAGUUUAGUACUUGCUAACAAAUGCCAUUGACAAUUAAGAAUAAUUUUAUAGUACAACAAACAUGAAGUAAUAAUGAUCAUAAAACUCUUCCAAAUUUUCAAUGUUUCAAAAUGCCUCAUUAGGAAAUGUACCUAUACAUCUAUAUGGAGGUACUGAUGCUGUUGUUGGACAAUUAUAGUAUAUUUGAUUCAUAACUCAACUUCUUUAUAAAGUUUUUGACUGUUUUAGUUAUUGCAUUUGUUUAUUUGCCUUACAUAAAACUAUUGUCGGAAGUAUAUGAUAAAGCGAUUAAUACAUGGCAUUUUUCAUAUCAGCCUGGGUAUCAUCCCUCGACCCAUAUCAGCACCUCGACUUCGUCUCGGGAUGAUACCAAGGCUGAUAUGGAAAUGGCCAUGUAUUAAUCUCUAUGUUAUACUGAAUAAACAUGUUUUACACUGAAUAAAGUAAUAUAUCCCACCUAUUGUAUCUAUAAAUACCACUAUAAUGGAAUGUUUAUAAGGACUAGAUCAUGUUAUUUUGAUUUGGAUGAUUGUAGUAGUAUUUUGAGCAAUUCCAAAUGAAUAAUGAUCCCAAUAGCAACUGGUUUGUAAACAAAAUAUAAAUCAUGUAGUGGGUACCAGAGCAACAGCAGUUUUGUCCAACAAAUAUUGUUGCAAGGUAAAAUUUAUUGUGAUUCAAAAUAUUUUUAUGAUCUCCAUGGCUGCUUAAAUAUUAUUGUGGAAUAAAAGGCUUACUUUUGUCUGUCCUUUUCAGCCUUAUUAAAUCUGACCAUAAUUUUUCUCCACAAGAUACGUACAAUGGUGCAGUAAAGUAAUGAAUAAAAUAACAUUCACUUGCUAGCUGAACUACACACCAUUUAGUUAAAACUGAAUGUAAAUUUAAAGUUAAUUUAAAAUGCCCCUGUUUUAUGAAAUCAAAAGAUAGCAAGUUGAUGAACUAUGAAUCUGAAAACCCUAUACAUGUUCACCAGAAGCCCGAUAAUAUAUUUCUGCAGGGAUCUCUUAAUUUCAGUUUCAUUGUAAUGAAAAGUUCAUUCAUAGCAUUGUAGAAUUUAAUGGGACGAAAGGACAUAAAGAUGGAUGGACACACAAACAGGCAAAUAAAAACAGUUUACCUCUCCUUUGGAGUGGGCAAAUAAAAAGGGUUUAUCAAAAACAUAUAUAAAUGUAAAAGUUAAAAGUUUCUACAAUAAAAGAUUUUUGUUCUUUAGUCUAAUAUGAGUUACAAUUUUUUGUUUAGUUGCAUAUAAAUUAUGAAAAAAACAAGAUAUAAAUUUUUA
Molecule: long non-coding RNA, 2432 nt
Filed under: Mytilus galloprovincialis (Mediterranean mussel)
Lineage: Eukaryota; Metazoa; Mollusca; Bivalvia; Mytilida; Mytilidae
Source: RNAcentral